UGGCUUCCAUCUGGAAGAAUCUGGAGACAGGUGCUGCAUGGCUGUCGUCAGCUCGCGUCGUGAGAUGUUGGGUUAAGUCCCGCAACGAGCGCAACCCUUGCCUUUAGUUGCCAGCAGUUCGGCUGGGCACUCUAAAGGGACUGCCGGUGUUAAACCGGAGGAAGGUGGGGAUGACGUCAAGUCCUCAUGGCCUUUAUGACCAGGGCUACACACGUACUACAAUGGCCGAUACAAAGGGCAGCGACACUGCGAGGUGAAGCCAAUCCCGUAAAAUCGGUCUCAGCCCGGAUUGGAGUCUGCAACUCGACUCCAUGAAGUUGGAAUCGCUAGUAAUCGUCGGAUCCAGCCAUGCCAACGGUAGAAUAACGUUCCCGGGCCGUU
RNAcentral lists this ribosomal RNA (381 nucleotides) under uncultured Desulfobulbus sp. RNAcentral describes it as "bacterial SSU rRNA". It matches the Rfam family "Bacterial small subunit ribosomal RNA", at positions 1011 to 1382 of the family's 1533-position model. The record is from RNAcentral. Lineage: Bacteria; Pseudomonadati; Thermodesulfobacteriota; Desulfobulbia; Desulfobulbales; Desulfobulbaceae.